GCGCCUGUAGCUCAGCGGAUAGAGCGUUCGCCUCCGAAGUGAAAGGUCGUAGGUUCGAUCCCCACCAGGCGUA
RNAcentral lists this transfer RNA (73 nucleotides) under Chthonomonadaceae bacterium. It matches the Rfam family "tRNA". From Rfam's summary of the family: Transfer RNA (tRNA) molecules are approximately 80 nucleotides in length. Their secondary structure includes four short double-helical elements and three loops (D, anti-codon, and T loops). Lineage: Bacteria; Bacillati; Armatimonadota; Chthonomonadia; Chthonomonadales; Chthonomonadaceae. The record is from Rfam by way of RNAcentral.